RNAcentral lists this ribosomal RNA (1295 nucleotides) under uncultured fungus. RNAcentral's name for it is "eukaryotic LSU rRNA". The stretch from base 631 to 1295 matches the Rfam family "Eukaryotic large subunit ribosomal RNA", at positions 1 to 649 of the family's 3401-position model. The record is from RNAcentral. Lineage: Eukaryota; Fungi.
AAGUCGUAACAAGGUUUCCGUAGGUGAACCUGCGGAAGGAUCAUUAUCGAAUAAACUUGAACAGGCUGUUUCUGCUGGUCCAUAGGACAUGUGCACGCUUGUUCAUCUUUAUCAUUUCUCCAACUGUGCACGUAUUGUAGACCUUGGGGAUGGAAUUCGUUCCGAGUGGGGACUGCUGUGCUUCAAAAAGAGGUCGGCUUUCCCUUUAGGUCUAUGUCAUUUCCUCACAACCACUGUGUUUAGAAUGUAUGAAUAAAAAAAGUUAUAAAAACAACUUUCAGCAACGGAUCUCUUGGCUCUCGCAUCGAUGAAGAACGCAGCGAAAUGCGAUAAGUAAUGUGAAUUGCAGAAUUCAGUGAAUCAUCGAAUCUUUGAACGCACCUUGCGCUCCUUGGUAUUCCGAGGAGCAUGCCUGUUUGAGUGUCAUUUGAACCCUCAAAACCAUGUUCAAUUCAUUGGACAGUGGCUUUGGACUUGGGGGCUGCAGGCUUUUUCCCUUCGAGAAAGGUCUGCUCCCCUGAAAUGCAUCAGUGGUAUCUGGAGCGGAAACCGCCAGGUGUGAUAACAUCAUCUACGCCUUUGGUAUGCCGCGCAUUGUGCUGCUUCCAACGCGCCCAUUAUUGACAAACUUGACCUCAAAUCAGGUAGGACUACCCGCUGAACUUAAGCAUAUCAAUAAGCGGAGGAAAAGAAACUAACAAGGAUUCCCCUAGUAACUGCGAGUGAAGCGGGAAGAGCUCAAAUUUGUAAUCUGGCGGUCCUUGACCGUCCGAGUUGUAAUCUAGAGAAGUGCUACCUGUGCUGGACCGUGUACAAGUCUCCUGGAAUGGAGCAUCACAGAGGGUGAGAAUCCCGUCUUUGACACGGACUGCCUGUGCGUUGUGGUGCGCUCUCGAAGAGUCGAGUUGUUUGGGAAUGCAGCUCAAAAUGGGUGGUAAAUGCCAUCUAAAGCUAAAUAUUGGCGAGAGACCGAUAGCGAACAAGUACCGUGAGGGAAAGAUGAAAAGCACUUUGGAAAGAGAGUGAAACAGUACGUGAAAUUGUUGAAAGGGAAACGCUUGAAGUCAGUCGCGCCGUUCGGGAUUCAGCCUUGCUUCUGCUCGGUUUACUUCCCGUUGGGUGGGUCAACAUCAGUUUCGGUCGGAGGAGAAAGGCUUGGGGAAGGUGGCAGCAUUCGUGCUGUGUUAUAGCCCCUUGUUGUAUACUUCGACUGGGACUGAGGACCGCAGCACGCCUUUGGCCGGGGUUCGCCCACGUACGUGCUUAGGAUGUUGGCAUAAUGGCUUUAAGCGACC